Molecule: small nuclear RNA, 106 nt
Organism: Mesocricetus auratus (golden hamster)
Lineage: Eukaryota; Metazoa; Chordata; Mammalia; Rodentia; Cricetidae
Source: Ensembl
GUGCUCACUUCUGCAGCACAUAUACUAAAAUUUAACAAUACAGAGAAGAUUAGCAUGGUCCCUGGGCAAGGAUGACAUGCAAAUUUGUGAAGCUUUCCAUAUUUUU